RNAcentral lists this ribosomal RNA (429 nucleotides) under Daphnia dentifera. Its description in RNAcentral is "partial 12S ribosomal RNA". Lineage: Eukaryota; Metazoa; Arthropoda; Branchiopoda; Diplostraca; Daphniidae. The record is from RNAcentral.
UUAAAUUUUUGAAGUUAUCUUGGCUUUUUUGUUGGGUGAAAUCAGUAUAAAGAGUUUCUCUUUCUUUUAAAAUUAAUAGGAAUUAAAAAACUUUGAUUUAAAACCAGGAUUAGAUACCCUGUUAUUCUAAGUUAUAUUUAGACAGGGUAGUAAAAGUUGUUCUUCAAACCCAAAGAUUUUGGCGGCACUUUAUCCAAAUAGAGGAGCUUGUCCCUUAAUCGAUAGUCCCCGUUUUAUCUUUCCUCUGUUUGUAGAGCUUGUAUACCGCCGUUGUCAGAUCACUUUUAGAGAAUGUUUUCAAGUUAAAAGACUUUUCUACUUCAGGUCAAGGUGCAGUUUAUACAGAGGUGGAGGUGAGCUACAAUUUUCUUUAGAAAUACGGAUUUCAAGCCUCGAAGCUGGUUGAAGGUGGAUUUAUUAGUAAAGUAA